This 1488-nucleotide long non-coding RNA is filed under the name Homo sapiens (human). RNAcentral describes it as "HSALNT0371897". Lineage: Eukaryota; Metazoa; Chordata; Mammalia; Primates; Hominidae. The record is from RNAcentral.
CCUCGGCGAAGAGGCCCCCGCGGCCGGCCGAGCUCCGUGGACUCCGCAGGAGCGGCCCCGCCCCUCACACUACGCCGGGCGGUUCCCUCCGAGCCCCGCCGGGACAGCGUCGACGCUGCACACACCCCAGAGAAGCCAGAGGACGGCGCCUGCACCGGACACAGCGCAACACCGGCACAGCACAGCGUCCACACCACAAGUGAGCCUAGGCAGCUGUGUCUACACUGCAGACGCCGGCCUGAGCGCACGCGUCUUCAUGCAGGCUCAGCAGAGGGGGAAGAACACCUCCCCGAGGGUGGAAGAGCUGUGGCCAGCAGACAGAUGGACGGACAGACGGACACAGGCGAACAGGCAGCGCAGGGGUGAGCCGAGCCGGUCAAAUGGGCCAGGACCCGGCUCCGUGUGCCCUUCACAGUCAGGAUGACAGAACCCCGUGGAAUAUGAAAAAUGCCGGGAGACAGACCCCGGAGGCACAGCCCCUCACCGGGCAGGGAGGCCGCCAGAGGGAAGCGCAGCUCCAGACCACCAGAGCCCCAUCUGAUUAAGGCAUCGAGAUCAAAGCUCAGCAGAGGGCGGCUCAUGAUGGGCAGCUCAAAAAAAUAAACCCACCAAUCAGAGUCCGUGUUCCUGUGACCGGUGGCGGGUUCGGAUGCAGAGGAGGCUUCUCAGUGCGGUUCCUCCUCAUCUCGGAACCUGCCACCCCACUCAAGCCCGACAUAGGCCAGGACAGCCAGGACGGCCGCAGCGAGGGCAACACGAGGCCCGUCGACAUCCUGAGGCCCCCGGGCCUGUCGCCGAGUCCCGGCUUGGGGAGUGUCCCCGGGCCACACUGGUCCUGCUCCCGGCUGUGUGGUCUCCCAGGCGCGUGGCUCCUCCCUCCGGGGCCCAGGCUCUGGUGUGAGCCACUUUUUCCAUAGGAGACGCCCAUACUUGCAGCUCACGCCUUUGUCUGGUGCCCUGGCCUCACACCUAUAGGAAUUGGGUACCUGGGGGCCUCUUCAUCUUUACUUGUCUCAGCUUAGAGAAGCCCAGCUACACUUCCUCCAUGCCUGGAUUCAUGCACGGCCCCACAGGGUGAGGCCUGGACACCCUCACGGGCACUGGGGCUCCACGGAUGCAGAAGGCAGCCUGGCCCGGUAGCUCGGGGGUCUGAGAUGGAGGUGGAGUAAGACAGAGUGACAAAGGCUGCGUCCUGGAGGCAGGCUCGGAGCCUCCCUGAGCUCAGAGAGCCCGCGUGCGCCAGGAAGCCACACCUGCAGGACCCGAGUCGGAACUCAGAGGCUGGUACAGCCGCGGUGCUUGUCCUGUAGAUAAGAAUGGCCUCCUCUGGCGGCCAAAGUUAAUUAAACUGACAAUCUUGAUAAGUUGCACAGUUACCUGCUCGGGGACAAAGAAGAUGGGAGCCUUGUUUGUGGUUUCUUCUUGUUCUUUCCUGUGCCCCACAGUCAUUUUAAAAUUAAAUUAAAUGGCUUAUCUGCACUAACCCAA